This 73-nucleotide transfer RNA is filed under the name Stegodyphus mimosarum. It matches the Rfam family "tRNA". Rfam says of the family: Transfer RNA (tRNA) molecules are approximately 80 nucleotides in length. Their secondary structure includes four short double-helical elements and three loops (D, anti-codon, and T loops). The record is from Rfam by way of RNAcentral. Lineage: Eukaryota; Metazoa; Arthropoda; Arachnida; Araneae; Eresidae.
GCCUUCGUGGUGUAGUGGUCAGCACGCUCGGCGCGUAUUCGAGAGGUCCGAGGUUCGAGUCCCGGCGAGGACA